Callithrix jacchus (white-tufted-ear marmoset) is the source of this 4731-nucleotide long non-coding RNA. RefSeq lists it as uncharacterized. The record is from RefSeq and is a predicted model, not a curated record. NCBI's taxonomy places the organism in Eukaryota, Metazoa, Chordata, Mammalia, Primates, Cebidae.
UCCGUCGGCCGGAACCGGCUCCCAGGCGGCGCGGCUGCAGCGGGGCGCGCGGGAAUGCUCAGCGCCUCUCUCCUCCCCAGGGCCGGUCUGCGGGGAGAUGUCCAGGAGCUGAAAGAGAUUCCAUAGGAGGAAGUGGAAACCUCUGGAAAGACAGCCAGCCGAUGGCUCCCGAAACAACUGUGUCCAGCCAGUACACCCGGGCAACUUCAACCUCACUAAAACCCAGCCCCAAAACAUAUAUGUAUAUAUCUGCAUAUAUAUGUGAGAACGAAUGCAAAAGAGCCACUUUGGCGCCUACCCCGCCACAAGUAGGUAGGCACAUCCAAGUAGCUCUGUCAGGGGACCGGACCGGACUUGGCGCCUUGCAGAGGGACGGCGUGGCCCUAUAGAGAUCCAGAAGCCCUAUUUCGAGCGAGUAGUUUCUCUUCUUCUGCAGUCUUCUCUCCAGUGUGGUGAUCUAGCAACUUCACUCCCACUGCGAUUCCCUGUGAAUCCACGCUAGUCGGGAUAUAGCCUCUCUCUGGCCCAGCGACUUAGCGCGCUAAAACCCGGUACCCCACCCGGUAACCGGAAGACCUAGUUGUCCUCCGUCCUGCCUCCGCCGUCGAUAAUGUCCAGGAUCCAAGCAAAGUGCCUGUCCAUGUUGCCACCAGAUCUACAAGCACUUUUGAUGACAGCUGCUGCGCUUUUGGAAACACCGUGCCUCUCCUCAGCAGAGAAGAAUCUGUUCUCCUGGGCUGGCUUAGAAAAAAGAACCAAGACAAAGUAUGUGGACUGCAAACAUCAGCUUCUUCUUCCCUUUUUUUUUUUUUUUUUUUUUUCCUUCUUUCUUUUUCUUUUUCUUUCUUUUUUUUUUUUUUUUUUUUGAGACGGAGUUUCACUCUUGUUACCCAGGCUGGAGUGCAAUGGCGCGAUCUCGGCUCACUGCAACCUCCGCCUCCUGGGUUCUGGCAAUUCUCCUGCCUCAGCCUCCUGAGUAGCUGGGAUUAUAGGCACGCGCCACCAUGCCCAGCUAAUUUUUUGUAUUUUUAGUAGAGACGGGGGUUUCACCGUGUUGACCAGGAUGGUCUCGAUCUCUUGACCUCGUGAUCCACCCGCUUCGGCCUCCCAAAGUGCUGGGAUUACAGGCUUGAGCCACCGCGCCAGGCCAGCUUCUUCUUUUUUUGAAACGUAGUCUCACUCUGUCACCCAGGCUGGAGUGCAGUGGCACAAUCUCGUCUCACUGCAACCUCCGCCUCCGGGUUCAAGCGACUCUCCUGCCUCAGCCUCCCUAGUAGCUGGGAUUAACAGGCGCAAGCCACCACCACCCCCAGCUAAUUUUUGUAUUUUUAGUAGAGAGGGGGUUUCACCAUGUUGGCCAGGAUGGUCGUGAACGCCUGACCUCAAAUGAUUUGCCCACUUCAGUCUCCCAAAGUGCUGGGAUUAUAGGCGUGAGCCACCACACCCGGUGGAAAACAUCAGCAUUUAAUAGCAGUCUCGGAGUGGAGACUUUCAGGAAGUGGUGGAGAUAGGUCUGUUCAAUUAACCGGCCCCAGAUGUCAUUUGUCUGGCUACUUCUUUUUCUUGCCUGGCCUACCUUCUACACCGGUUUUUUCUUUUUCUGCAAAACAUUUUCUGAUGCAACUUGUUCUUUAUUUGUGCCUUUAUCUUUCUUAAACAAGUGAUCCCUGGAAGUAAUUGCCUAAGGAGGGGAGAGGAAACCUCCACCCUGCCCCCAAUUUCUUGAAUGAGAGCUACAUGCUGGCGGGCCAGGUACCAAGAGCAUCUUUGGAUCUUUAGACCUGAGUCAUCUUAUCUGUAAAAAAAAGAGGUUAAAGCAGAUGGACGCUAAAGGCCCAUUUCCAGGCUUAAAUUCAACUUUCAAGAAAAAAAAUUUCUUUUAUAUUCCUGUGUGUAUGUGUGUAUAUAUAUAUAUAUAUGUAUAUAUCUAUACACUUGACUUAGUAAUGUUCUAUGCAGAGAUGCAGAUGAGGAGGACAGUUUAAACUUCUAAGGGUGCCCUCCUUCUUUGGUUGGUUCCACCCAGAUGAGCAAUCCUUUUUGGGAACAGAAAGAGACCCUCGGGGUGGAAAGUACAAGAGGCAGAGAGGCAGGUCUCCUGAACACAGCUGAUACCCAAGUCCACUCAUGGUCACAUGAUUCAUUAGGACUGUAAGUCCUCAUCAGACACAAGCGCCAGACUCUCUGACCCUGCCAAUUCGAGCACUAAUGCUAAAAUCGGCCAAAAGACUGGCCAACAUAUGUACACAUUAAUUAGAGUUAUGUGGGCCUUUGGCUUCCAGUCUGAUGAACAGCUCCAGGGAUGCAGGGGGCAGAGGGUUUGGGGUUCUUUUCACCCAGCAGAUGCCCUUUGGUCCUGUUUCACCCAGCAGAUGCCUUAUUGCCCUUAUUAGGCCAAUAAGGUGGGUGAUAUGAAAGCUAACUCCUUUCAUCGGAUGGCUUAACCUCAGUAACUAAAGCUGAAACCUAGUAGUAGGUCCCUAAGAGGGGCAGGGAAAAAAUAUCUGUUCAGAGGAAACGAGAAUCAACAGUAAGCUUUUGUUAUUACUGCAUCUUAUAUUAUUAUGAGACAGGAGUGCGGAGAAGCCCAACAUGAAAGAAGAGAAACUUUUGGUAUGCAUGGAAGACAUGGAUACUUAGCAACCCUCUCUUGUGGCACUCAACUGUACACACAGAGAAAGUCAUGGCUGUAGUCCAUCUAGAAGCUGAAAAUGCAUGCUUUCAUCAGGAUUUACAAGGAUAAGGGAAGGAGCGUUGGGGGAUGGGGGGAAGCAUGGGCUUGAUCCAACUUAACUGUAAUUCUGACCAGGUACCACAAGUCACAGAGCAUCUCAGAAAGCAGAACUGCCCCCAUCCCUGUCAAGGAAGCCUGUGCAUGGCACUUUCUCUACAAGGUGUAUCUUCUUCUCCAUCCAUAUCUAACUCCUAGAUGGAGGAUAGUCAAGGUCAGUCAUUGUCUGUAUUAGACUUGGGGAGCAAGAGCCCUCAGCCUCUCCAUGGGCCACACUGAUAUAAAUGAAGGUGUCACCUGCUCUGUGUAGGGAAUGAUUUACCUUCAUGACUUUUUGAACUGUAAAGGGCAAAACGUCUGGGGUCUAUCAAGUGUAUACAUAGUUAUUAUAGUGCAAAAUUUGUCUCAAUUGUUUUAUGAUAAAUGUGUAUUUCCCAAUCCCCCACCUCCUUCCAUUAUAACCCAUAUAAACAAUCUAUGGACUAGGACAUGGCAAAACAACCUCUCUUACAAUAGGAGAAAGUUUAUGAGUUACUUAUAUGAUGCAGAACAAUUUAGACCUUUUCAGUUUGAGUUGGAGAGAGGGGACACACACAAAAAAUGAGGGGCCACAUUCCCACAACUCUAGACAGAAUUUGAUCUCACUCUUCCUACUUGCUUCUUUUACUUCUUUCUCCCUUUUUUCUUAUUCUGGUUCCUCAGGUACAGAGAAAAGACAAUUCAUUUGGAGCUCUACGGGAUUAAUAAUUUCACAUGUGCCCCAUCUUCUCAUUCCCAGAUAUUUGAAAUUAUAGUCAGGUGGAAUCUCACACCUUGCCCAAAUUGUAUUUGAUAUGAGGCUCUUCAAAGCUUCCUGGACACCUUCCUUCUUCUCUCCCCGUAUCAGUAGAACAGAUACAACUGGAGCAGCCUGCAUUAUUCUAGAAUUCUAUAGGCAUUAUUGUACAGCCAUGACUUUCUCUGUGUGUGCAGUUGAGUGCCAGGAGAGAGAGUUGCUAAGUAUCCAUGUCUUUCAUGUAUACCAAAAAUUUCUUUUCUUACAUUUCGGGCUUCUCCCCACUCCUGUCUCAUAGAGAUGAUAUUUGCUUUUCUACUCAUUAGGAAGCUCUGAGAAGAGGCAUAAGAAAUAAAUCACAGUGAUGAGGCAACUGGAGAGACUUUCCACAUGUACAUUGUGUGUAUUUUUAAACCAUGUGAAUUACUACCUGUUUAUGAAAAAUUAAUCUGAUUAGAAUAUAUAUGAGAGGCUAGUUGCUAAAUAUAUUUACACAUAAUGCCACAUAUUGAGGAGGAUGUUACCUACUGAAGAUACAGGAUUGAAGAACAUGCAACAACUUUCUGCUUUGCUCAAUGGGUCAUAAGCUGAAAAUCAGACUAGAAGAUAAUAUUUGUUCACAGAAGUAUAAAAUCUUAGGUAAGGCAUAAAAUGCACACUAUUCCUCUCCAUCCUCAUCUUCCCAAAUGGGGAGGCUUGUCAGUUUAAAGCCAUUUGCUCCUACAGUUAAGGGCUAGGGUCAUAGACUUGGAGAACUGGCUGAGCCCUCGGUCCCAAGUGGAAAGGCCAAGCUAGAACACAGUUAAAAAGAAAGAUUGGUGUUGUCUAAUAGAGGUUUGAAAAUAGCUUUUUUUGUUGUUGUUGUUACAAGGAGGACAAGACCUUUUCCCCUAGAAAUGGCUGCCUCUCAGAGCACUGCCCUUCAUGCACAUCCUCUUACACCUGCGCAGACUGAGCACUUUGCCCGCUUCCCAAGGCAUUCCCUAGGUGUAAAAGUUCUUGUUACUAUUGAAACUUUAAGUCUAAAUGAAACAAGGAGGAGUAAUGAUGUAAACUCCUUUCAUGAUGUAAACUCAGAAACAAAGGGAUCAGCUCAGCAGGGUGUUGAACAAUCGACCCCCUCUACCCACAGGUCAUUAAAUGGCUCCUGGAUGCCAAAAGACUUUAAGCUAGAACUGUUUUCCCUUUCAAGAAAUAUGCAAAUAAACAAAUCAGUUCCACCAAA